GACGAACGCUGGCGGCGUGCCUAACACAUGCAAGUCGAGCGAAUGAAGUUCCUUCGGGAACGGAUUUAGCGGCGGACGGGUGAGUAACACGUGGGCAACCUGCCUCAUAGAGGGGAAUAGCCUUCCGAAAGGGAGAUUAAUACCGCAUAAGAUUGUAGUGCCGCAUGGUACAGCAAUUAAAGGAGUAAUCCGCUAUGAGAUGGGCCCGCGGCGCAUUAGCUAGUUGGUGAGGUAACGGCUCACCAAGGCGACGAUGCGUAGCCGACCUGAGAGGGUGAUCGGCCACAUUGGGACUGAGACACGGGCCAGACUCCUACGGGAGGCAGCAGUGGGGAAUAUUGCACAAUGGGGGAAACCCUGAUGCAGCAACGCCGCGUGAGUGAUGACGGCCUUCGGGUUGUAAAGCUCUGUCUUCAGGGACGAUAAUGACGGUACCUGAGGAGGAAGCCACGGCUAACUACGUGCCAGCAGCCGCGGUAA
RNAcentral lists this ribosomal RNA (480 nucleotides) under uncultured bacterium. RNAcentral describes it as "partial 16S ribosomal RNA". It matches the Rfam family "Bacterial small subunit ribosomal RNA", at positions 28 to 523 of the family's 1533-position model. The record is from RNAcentral.